RNAcentral lists this ribosomal RNA (354 nucleotides) under uncultured bacterium. RNAcentral describes it as "bacterial SSU rRNA". It matches the Rfam family "Bacterial small subunit ribosomal RNA", at positions 8 to 350 of the family's 1533-position model. The record is from RNAcentral.
AGAGUUUGAUCCUGGCUCAGGAUGAACGCUAGCUACAGGCUUAACACAUGCAAGUCGAGGGGAAACGACAUCGAAAGCUUGCUUUUUUGAUGGGCGUCGACCGGCGCACGGGUGAGUAACGCGUAUCCAACCUGCCCACCACUUGGGGAUAACCUUGCGAAAGUAAGACUAAUACCCAAUGACGUCUCUAGAAGACAUCUGAAAGAGAUUAAAGAUUUAUCGGUGAUGGAUGGGGAUGCGUCUGAUUAGCUUGUUGGCGGGGUAACGGCCACCAAGGCGACGAUCAGUAGGGGUUCUGAGAGGAAGGUCCCCANACUUGGAACUGAGACACGGUCCAAACUCCUACGGGAGGCA